Molecule: long non-coding RNA, 160 nt
Organism: Patiria miniata (bat star)
Lineage: Eukaryota; Metazoa; Echinodermata; Asteroidea; Valvatida; Asterinidae
Exons: 3
Source: RefSeq, a predicted model, not a curated record
UUCGCGAGAAGAGUUGCGUUUGUAUUCUUACAUGCUGAGACUGAUGAGUGAGAAUUACGAAUCUUCCUAAAUAAAAGUCUGUAACCUGCUAUCGGUGUUGCACAGGAUGGACUGGAAGUACAUCAAGUGGCUGCACAACCCCCAUUUGCUUUGGCAAUAC